UUUUAAUAGUUUAAUAUAAAAUAUUGAUUUUGUAAAUCAAAGUUACUCAGGAUUUAAAACAU
This 62-nucleotide transfer RNA is filed under the name Trioza erytreae. Its description in RNAcentral is "tRNA-Thr". The record is from RNAcentral. Lineage: Eukaryota; Metazoa; Arthropoda; Insecta; Hemiptera; Triozidae.